AUUGAACGCUGGCGGCAGGCCUAACACAUGCAAGUCGAGCGGGGUUUUCGGACCUAGCGGCGGACGGGUGAGUAAUGCGUAGGAAGCUGCCCGAUAGAGGGGGAUACCAGUUGGAAACGACUGUUAAUACCGCAUAAUGUCUACGGACCAAAGUGUGGGACCUUCGGGCCACAUGCUAUCGGAUGCGCCUACGUGGGAUUAGCUAGUUGGUGAGGUAAUGGCUCACCAAGGCGACGAUCUCUAGCUGGUUUGAGAGGAUGAUCAGCCACACUGGAACUGAGACACGGUCCAGACUCCUACGGGAGGCAGCAGUGGGGAAUAUUGGACAAUGGGCGCAAGCCUGAUCCAGCCAUGCCGCGUGUGUGAAGAAGGCCUUCGGGUUGUAAAGCACUUUCAGCGAGGAGGAAGGGGUGUGUGUUAAUAGUACACACCUUUGACGUUACUCGCAGAAGAAGCACCGGCUAACUCUGUGCCAGCCGCCGCUGUAA
This 488-nucleotide ribosomal RNA is filed under the name uncultured bacterium. RNAcentral describes it as "partial 16S ribosomal RNA". It matches the Rfam family "Bacterial small subunit ribosomal RNA", at positions 30 to 523 of the family's 1533-position model. The record is from RNAcentral.